ACCACGAAGACCACGAUCCUGAGCCUCGAUUUCUUGUUUGAACUUCUUGCGAUUAAAUACUGUUAAACUUAAUCCACGCGCAUCCGGAGCCUGAUGUCCAUCAUCUGCCAAGAGCCCAGUUUCAGUUCCUCUCAUCGGUCACACAUGAACAUUGAGGGUGGCAUCCGCUGGUUCGCUGCACUCAGACAUCCGAAGACGUAACAGACCGACUCAUAACCGCGUCCCGCUGCUGUGGAACGACACAAAUAGAGGCACGCAUGUGUAUUCGUGAGAGCGGUCAGCCGUGACGUCACGCUCACAACAAGAACCAGCUGGCCGUUUGAAGUCCCGCAGCGAGCCGAGCGGAGGGACUGAUCCAUCGGAGAGAGAGUUUGGGAGGGGUAUUUAUUUUAAAAGUAGUCAAUAUUUAGUUUUACGGAGAACCGACCUCACUUUUCCUUUUCUCCUCCGCGACAACAGAAGCAACAACGAGCUGCUGUGCAUCCCACUGUGACCCACUGAUUGGCUCAGGGAGGAACAUCUUUUCAUUGGCCAAUCCAGGAGCCGAGUCCUGAUAAAUAUCCGGGUCAAGGGAGGUCACUUCCUGCUUUAUUGGGUGCAGACAGCGGUCAGAUUUUUGAGCUGAUGCCACUGUGUAUCAGAUGAAGAUGGCGAGCUGCCCACGAGUUGGAUGAACACGAUGACCGCCCUCUAAGACAACGUUUAUUUUUUUAUUAUAAAUAUGUACUUGCUUUAUAUUUAUGUUCAGUAAAAACCCUUAAAAUUCAA
Long non-coding RNA from Pseudoliparis swirei, 768 nucleotides. RefSeq lists it as uncharacterized. The transcript has 2 exons. The record is from RefSeq and is a predicted model, not a curated record. NCBI's taxonomy places the organism in Eukaryota, Metazoa, Chordata, Actinopteri, Perciformes, Liparidae.